GAACUGUGCAAACGUUAUUCGGAAUCACUGGGCUUAAAGGGUGCGUAGGCGGGUUAGUAGGUCAGAUGUGAAAGCCCACGGCUCAACCGUGGAAUUGCGUUUGAAACCACUAGUCUUGAGGGGAUCAGAGGAGAGCGGAACUGAUGGUGGAGCGGUGAGAUGCGUUGAUAUUAUCAGGAACACCGGCGGCGAAGGCGGCUCUCUGGGAUCUUUCUGACGCUGAGGCACGAAAGCUAGGGGGGAGCGAACGGGAUUAGAUACCCCGGUAGUCCUAGCUGUAAACGAUCUGUACUAGUCCCGUGGGGACUCCCCACAUCUUCUCGGACGUAGCGAAAGUGUUAAGUACAGCGCCUGGGAGUAUGGUCGCAAGGCUG
Molecule: ribosomal RNA, 374 nt
Filed under: uncultured organism
Description: partial 16S ribosomal RNA
Rfam family: Bacterial small subunit ribosomal RNA
Source: RNAcentral